UAGUACAAUGGAGGUGCGACGGCUGUCGCUGACCCUUCAAAGGUCGUGCACGCUCGAGCUCUCUCUUACACAUCCACCUCACCCCUUGUGCAUCGCCGCGUGGGUCCCCCUUCGAGGGGGCUUGCGUUUUUCACAUAAAACUAGAUGCAGUGUAGAAUGUCUUUUAUUUUUGCGGUUACACGCAAUCAAUA
RNAcentral lists this unclassified non-coding RNA (191 nucleotides) under uncultured Russula. Its description in RNAcentral is "sequence contains ITS1". The record is from RNAcentral. Lineage: Eukaryota; Fungi; Basidiomycota; Agaricomycetes; Russulales; Russulaceae.